Molecule: transfer RNA, 77 nt
Filed under: Candidatus Komeilibacteria bacterium CG10_big_fil_rev_8_21_14_0_10_41_13
Lineage: Bacteria; Candidatus Komeiliibacteriota
Description: tRNA-Arg
Rfam family: tRNA
About the family: Transfer RNA (tRNA) molecules are approximately 80 nucleotides in length.
Source: RNAcentral
GUCCCCGUAGCUCAGCUGGAUAGAGCGCAGGCUUGCGGUGCCUGAGGCCAGAGGUUCGACUCCUCUCGGGGACGCCA